Molecule: ribosomal RNA, 409 nt
Filed under: Bacillota bacterium
Lineage: Bacteria; Bacillati; Bacillota
Description: Firmicutes bacterium partial 16S ribosomal RNA
Rfam family: Bacterial small subunit ribosomal RNA
Source: RNAcentral
UGGGGAAUAUUGCACAAUGGGCGAAAGCCUGAUGCAGCGACGCCGCGUGAGGGAUGACGGCCUUCGGGUUGUAAACCUCUUUCAGCAGGGACGAAGCGCAAGUGACGGUACCUGCAGAAGAAGCACCGGCUAACUACGUGCCAGCAGCCGCGGUAAUACGUAGGGUGCAAGCGUUGUUCGGAAUUACUGGGCGUAAAGAGUUCGUAGGCGGUUUGUCGCGUCGUUUGUGAAAACCAGCAGCUCAACUGCUGGCUUGCAGGCGAUACGGGCAGACUUGAGUACUGCAGGGGAGACUGGAAUUCCUGGUGUAGCGGUGAAAUGCGCAGAUAUCAGGAGGAACACCGGUGGCGAAGGCGGGUCUCUGGGCAGUAACUGACGCUGAGGAACGAAAGCGUGGGUAGCGAACAGG